RNAcentral lists this long non-coding RNA (431 nucleotides) under Ananas comosus (pineapple). RNAcentral's name for it is "long non-coding RNA (ACOM_LNC036898)". The record is from RNAcentral. Lineage: Eukaryota; Viridiplantae; Streptophyta; Magnoliopsida; Poales; Bromeliaceae.
AAUUUUAAUUUUUAAUUUAAGUUCAAUUUAAAAUUAUAUAUUUAAUUUUUAAAUUUUAACUCAUAUUUUAAUUAAAAAAGUUGAAAAAAUAAAUUUAAUCUAAAUAAAUAUCCAUUCCGUCCUUAUUCAACUUCCAAUCCGGCCUCCUAGGCUGGAUUGAAAAAAGAGGUGAUUGGGGAAUUCCCAUUCCACUCGGGAAUCAGAAUCGGAAUGGAACUCCCGCGUACCAAACACCCACAAACGGAUUCACCCAUUCCGAUUCCGAUUCCAGGAUGAAAAAGAAGCGAACCAAACACGCCCUAAGUUUCUACUUCAUUAAAUAUUUAUACCCAAGUGAAGCUGUAGUGUUCCUGAGCUUUGGAUAGGAUUGGCUUCAGUAUUAUAGACUGGUCGACAUCUCUGGAGAGUGUCGGAUUGAGUCGGAGUCAAUU